This 492-nucleotide ribosomal RNA is filed under the name uncultured bacterium. Its description in RNAcentral is "partial 16S ribosomal RNA". It matches the Rfam family "Bacterial small subunit ribosomal RNA", at positions 29 to 507 of the family's 1533-position model. The record is from RNAcentral.
AGUGAACGCUGGCGGUAGGCCUAACACAUGCAAGUCGAACGGCAGCACAGUAAGAGCUUGCUCUUACGGGUGGCGAGUGGCGGACGGGUGAGGAAUACAUCGGAAUCUACUUUUUCGUGGGGGAUAAUGUAGGGAAACUUACGCUAAUACCGCAUACGACCUACGGGUGAAAGCAGGGGAUCUUCGGACCUUGCGCGAUUGAAUGAGCCGAUGUCGGAUUAGCUAGUUGGCGGGGUAAAGGCCCACCAAGGCGACGAUCCGUAACUGGUCUGAGAGGAUGAUCAGCCACACUGGAACUGAGACACGGUCCAGACUCCUACGGGAGGCAGCAGUGGGGAAUAUUGGACAAUGGGCGCAAGCCUGAUCCAGCCAUACCGCGUGGGUGAAGAAGGCCUUCGGGUUGUAAAGCCCUUUUGUUGGGAAAGAAAAGCAGCAGGUUAAUACCCCGCUGUUCUGACGGUACCCAAAGAAUAAGCACCGGCUAACUUCGUG